RNAcentral lists this ribosomal RNA (630 nucleotides) under uncultured organism. Its description in RNAcentral is "bacterial SSU rRNA". It matches the Rfam family "Bacterial small subunit ribosomal RNA", at positions 1 to 663 of the family's 1533-position model. The record is from RNAcentral.
GGCUUAGAGUUUGAUCAUGGCUCAGGAUGAACGCUGGCGGCGUGCCUAACACAUGCAAGUCGAGCGAACUCUUCGGAGUGAGCGGCGGACGGGUGAGUAACGCGUGGGUAACCUGCCCUGUACACAUGGAUAACAUACCGAAAGGUAUGCUAAUACAAGAUAAAAUAUAUUUAUCGCAUGAUAGAUAUAUCAAAGCGUUAGCGGUACAGGAUGGACCCGCGUCUGAUUAGCUAGUUGGUAAGGUAAAGGCUUACCAAGGCGACGAUCAGUAGCCGACCUGAGAGGGUGAUCGGCCACAUUGGAACUGAGACACGGUCCAAACUCCUACGGGAGGCAGCAGUGGGGAAUAUUGCACAAUGGGCGAAAGCCUGAUGCAGCAACGCCGCGUGAGCGAAGAAGGCCUUCGGGUCGUAAAGCUCUGUCCUCAAGGAAGAUAAUGACGGUACUUGAGGAGGAAGCUCCGGCUAACUACGUGCCAGCAGCCGCGGUAAUACGUAGGGGGCAAGCGUUAUCCGGAUUUACUGGGCGUAAAGGGUGCGUAGGCGGUCUUACAAGUCAGGAGUGAAAGGCUACGGCUCAACCGUAGUAAGCUCUUGAAACUGUUAGACUUGAGUGCAGGAGAGGAGAGUG